CGGUUUAGGGCUAUCGAUAGUUAGUCAAGUUGCAUUUUAGAGCCGCCAGAACUUAGAGAUAUUUGUGUCAGGAAUCUCGUGAAUGUGUAAUUCGGGCACACUAAAUCAUGUAAAGUUAUGCUUAAUUUUGGCGGAUAGUAUUACUACGAUUUGAGCAUCACACUGAGUGGGAAGGGAAACUGCGAAUAAAACAUAAGACCCAAAUACUCUGUUUGUUAUCGAA
This 223-nucleotide small RNA is filed under the name Drosophila yakuba. RNAcentral describes it as "GE28496". The record is from RNAcentral. Lineage: Eukaryota; Metazoa; Arthropoda; Insecta; Diptera; Drosophilidae.